CCAAGGUCCUUUUCCCAGGCUGAGAUGUAUGGCAGAAUGACUUGGGAGUGGUGUGUGGUUAGUGUUAUGUAUAGAUUGGAUAUCUGGCUUUUUCGAGAUGGAGUUCUAAGGCAGUCCCGUUUGAGAGGUGAGGUAGCUGCCAAGCGGAUUGUGUCUGACGUGGCGAAGCUGCGGAGUUGGAGGAAUUGGAAAUGGUCAAAGGAGGUUAGGGUGUCAGAGUUGGGGAUUUCAGUGUAUUGUAGCAGUUUCCCGUUGGGGUACAGAUGUCCUAGCCUGACUAUGUCUCUUUCCUCAUAGUGUGCG
This is a non-coding RNA of Pelobates cultripes (western spadefoot toad), 303 nucleotides long. The record is from the annotation of a GenBank genome assembly. NCBI's taxonomy places the organism in Eukaryota, Metazoa, Chordata, Amphibia, Anura, Pelobatidae.